AGAGAGUAGCAAUACUGUCUUAGUGGCGAACGGGUGAGUAACGCGUUGGUGACCUGCCCCGAAGAGAGGGAUAACAGUUCGAAAGGACUGCUAAUACCCCAUGAUAUCUGCCUAGUUAGAGAGGGCAGAUGAAAGGAGCAAUCCGCUUUGGGAGGGGCCUGCGUCCCAUCAGCUAGUUGGUAAGGUAAAAGCUUACCAAGGCGAAGAUGGGUAGGGGGCCUGAGAGGGUGACCCCCCACACUGGCACUGAAACACGGGCCAGACACCUACGGGUGGCAGCAGUAGGGAAUAUUGCACAAUGGGCGAAAGCCUGAUGCAGCAACGCCGCGUGCGCGAUGACGGCCUUCGGGUUGUAAAGCGCUUUUCGGGGAGAUGAGGAAGGACAGUAUCCCCGGAAUAAGGCUCGGCUAACUACGUGCCAGCAGCCGCGGUAACACGUAGGAGCCAAGCGUUAUCCGAAUUCACUGGGCGUAAAGCGCGUGUAGGCGGCUUGGUAAGUUGGAUGUGAAAGCUCCUGGCUCAACUGGGAGAGGACGUUCAAUACUGCCGGGCUAGAGGGCGACAGAGGGAGGUGGAAUUCCCGGUGUAGUGGUGAAAUGCGUAGAUAUCGGGAGGAACACCAGUGGCGAAAGCGGCCUCCUGGGUCGCACCUGACGCUCAGACGCGAAAGCUAGGGGAGCGAACGGGAUUAGAAACCCCGGUAGUCCUAGCCGUAAACGAUGUAGACUUGGUGUCGGUGGGGUAAAAGCCAUCGGUGCCGAAGCAAACGCGA
RNAcentral lists this ribosomal RNA (772 nucleotides) under uncultured Chloroflexota bacterium. RNAcentral's name for it is "bacterial SSU rRNA". It matches the Rfam family "Bacterial small subunit ribosomal RNA", at positions 71 to 860 of the family's 1533-position model. The record is from RNAcentral. Lineage: Bacteria; Bacillati; Chloroflexota.